Molecule: long non-coding RNA, 272 nt
Filed under: Salvia miltiorrhiza (redroot sage)
Lineage: Eukaryota; Viridiplantae; Streptophyta; Magnoliopsida; Lamiales; Lamiaceae
Description: long non-coding RNA (SMIL_LNC013521)
Source: RNAcentral
AUGGUGUUGAGCGGGUGUUCCUUUGAUCAUUUCAAGAAAUGUAACGUUGAGUAUACAUCUUCAUAUGUAUAUUUCACAUGUUUUCCGCUGCAAAACACUUUGAUUAGGAUAACUCUAUGUUAUGAAGUUGUGACACGUGAUAUUGGGUAACCCACCUUAAUCAGUUCUCCUUUAUGUGUAUGUGUUAUAAGUAUCCAAAUGAUCAUAUAUGAUCCUAACAUUUUAUCUAUAAGUGACAUUUCCAUAUACUUUAAUGUUAAGUAAUUAUCCAU